UUAUUAUUUUUUAAUAUUUUUUUUGAAGGGCUUGGAAUCAAAAGGAGAGAAAAAAGAGUCACUGGAUUUUUUGGAGAAGAACGAGAUUCAAGCUUGGUUUGAGAUUUUGAAGGCCACCUAUAAAAUUUUCAUCUUUUUAUUUGAAAAUUUUGAGAGAAGUUAGAUUAUGUUGUUAGUAUUAGAUUUCUAAUAAGAUAAGGAUUUCUUAAUUUGAAAUAAAGGCAGAAUUUUGGUGGAAUUUUGAGUGCAAAGGGGUCGGCUACCUUGGCAGUUUAGAUCAACCACCUUUGAAAAGGCAUUUCUUAGUGCUUCUUAAUUGGAUUAUUGUGAAAUUUUAGAAAUAAGUGUAUCUUCAAGCUAAGCUUUUAAUGGAAUAAAUUUCAUUGAAUUCAAAGAAAAAUUUGAAUUUUUGGUUAAUUUUUAAGUGGGGGGAGGUUGCCUACUGCAGUAGUCUUGGUCACUCAACUUUAAAGGAGUAAUUCUCACGGCUU
RNAcentral lists this long non-coding RNA (491 nucleotides) under Physcomitrium patens. RNAcentral's name for it is "long non-coding RNA (PPAT_LNC000098)". The record is from RNAcentral. Lineage: Eukaryota; Viridiplantae; Streptophyta; Bryopsida; Funariales; Funariaceae.